RNAcentral lists this ribosomal RNA (463 nucleotides) under uncultured bacterium. RNAcentral describes it as "partial 16S ribosomal RNA". It matches the Rfam family "Bacterial small subunit ribosomal RNA", at positions 28 to 507 of the family's 1533-position model. The record is from RNAcentral.
GAUGAACGCUGACAGAAUGCUUAACACAUGCAAGUCGAUGGGGAAGUGGUGCUUGCACCAUGGUAACCAUGGCGGACGGGUGAGUAACACGUAAGGAACUUACCUGCGGGACCGGGAUAACAGCAGGAAACUGCUGACAAGACCGGAUAAGGUCAUUAAGCUGCAUAGCUUAGUGAUGAAAGGAGACGCCUGCGGAGAGCCUUGCGUCCUAUUAGCUAGUUGGAGGGGUAACGGCCCACCAAGGCGAAGAUAGGUAGCCGGCCUGAGAGGGUGGACGGCCACAAGGGGACUGAGAUACGGCCCUUACUCCUACGGGAGGCAGCAGUGGGGAAUAUUGGACAAUGGGGGCAACCCUGAUCCAGCAAUUCUGUGUGCACGAAGACGGUUUUCGGAUUGUAAAGUGCUUUCAGCAGGGAAGAAGAAAGUGACGGUACCUGCAGAAGAAGCGACGGCUAAAUACGUG